Molecule: non-coding RNA, 114 nt
Organism: Oreochromis niloticus (Nile tilapia)
Lineage: Eukaryota; Metazoa; Chordata; Actinopteri; Cichliformes; Cichlidae
Source: Rfam
CUUGGCUAUGGAGACAUGUACCCUCAGACGACCUCCGGUAUGCUGGUUGGAGCUCUGUGCGCCCUGGCAGGUGUGCUGACCAUCGCCAUGCCCGUCCCCGUGAUUGUCAACAAC